Molecule: ribosomal RNA, 481 nt
Filed under: uncultured bacterium
Lineage: Bacteria
Description: partial 16S ribosomal RNA
Rfam family: Bacterial small subunit ribosomal RNA
Source: RNAcentral
GAUGAACGCUGGCGGCGUGCUUAACACAUGCAAGUCGAACGAAGCACUUUAUUUGAUUUCCUUCGGGACUGAUUCUUUUGUGACUGAGUGGCGGACGGGUGAGUAACGCGUGGGUAACCUGCCUUGUACAGGGGGAUGACAGUUGGAAACGGCUGCUAAUACCGCAUAAGCGCACAGCAUCGCAUGAUGCAGUGUGAAAAGCUCCGGUGGUAUAACAUGGACUCGCGUUGGAUGAGCUAGUUGGUGAGGUAGCGGCACACCCAGGCGACGAUCCAUAGCCGAGCUGAGAAGGUGACCGGCCACAUUUGGACUGAGACACGGCCCAAACUCCUACGGGAGGCAGCAGUGGGGAAUAUUGCACAAUGGGCGAAAGUGUGAUGCAGCGACGCCGCGUGAGCGAAGAAGUAUGUCGGUAUGUAAAGCUGUAUCAGCAGGGAAGAUAAUGACGGUACCUGACAAAGAAGCACCGGCUAAAUACGUG